GACGAACGCUGGCGGCGUGCUUAACACAUGCAAGUCGAACGGUGACGAGGAGCUUGCUCCUCUGAUCAGUGGCGAACGGGUGAGUAACACGUGAGCAACCUGCCCCAGACUCUGGGAUAACAGUUGGAAACAGCUGCUAAUACCGGAUACGAGACGGAGAGGCAUCUCUACCGUCUGGAAAGUUUUUCGGUCUGGGAUGGACUCGCGGCCUAUCAGCUAGUUGGUGAGGUAAUGGCUCACCAAGGCGACGACGGGUAGCCGGCCUGAGAGGGCGACCGGCCACACUGGGACUGAGACACGGCCCAGACUCCUACGGGAGGCAGCAGUGGGGAAUAUUGCACAAUGGGCGAAAGCCUGAUGCAGCGACGCCGCGUGAGGGAUGAAGGCCUUCGGGUUGGUUAACCGUACUUUCUAGCAGGGAAGGAAGGACGAAAGUAGACGGUACCUGCAGAAGAAGACACCGGCUAACGUAACGUGCCAGCAGCCGCGGUAAUACGU
This 498-nucleotide ribosomal RNA is filed under the name uncultured bacterium. RNAcentral's name for it is "bacterial SSU rRNA". It matches the Rfam family "Bacterial small subunit ribosomal RNA", at positions 28 to 528 of the family's 1533-position model. The record is from RNAcentral.